GGGCAAAGAGGCCCAUGCCUGUAAUCCCAGCAACUUGGGAGGUUGAGGCAGGAGGAUCACAAGUUUGAGGCCACCCUGGGCAACUUAGUGAGACCUUGUCUCAA
This 104-nucleotide small RNA is filed under the name Marmota monax (woodchuck). The record is from RNAcentral. Lineage: Eukaryota; Metazoa; Chordata; Mammalia; Rodentia; Sciuridae.